GACGAACCGAGCGAACGUUGUUCGGAAUCACUGGGCUUAAAGGGCGCGUAGGCGGAUUCUCAAGUCCGGGGUGAAAUCCCACAGCUCAACUGUGGAACUGCCUCGGAUACUGGGAGUCUCGAGGGUGGCAGGGGUAUGCGGAACUAUCGGUGGAGCGGUGAAAUGCGUUGAUAUCGAUAGGAACUCCGGUGGCGAAGGCGGCAUACUGGUCCACUUCUGACGCUGAGGCGCGAAAGCCAGGGGAGCAAACGGG
Molecule: ribosomal RNA, 253 nt
Filed under: uncultured bacterium
Lineage: Bacteria
Also listed under: 1 other name
Description: partial 16S ribosomal RNA
Rfam family: Bacterial small subunit ribosomal RNA
Source: RNAcentral